GAGUGAGGAAGGGAAAACACCUACCACUUCUAUAUGAUAAGCAGAAGAAGUAAGGAGCAAAAAUUAAGAAGAUAAUAGUACUUUGAUGGUGAAUGUUGCCCAGGGCUUAGCCAGAAAAAAACAAGUCUUGUGGCACUAGUUGGAGUUACAGCUAGAAGAAUGGACUAUGCGGGAGGUGAAAGAUAUUUCCAGGGGACUGUUUAUUAGCCUUGCCCUGAUGAACAUCUUUUUUGCAUGGUAUUCUAAUGUUGCUAGUGUCUAAAAGGUAUGUGAUCUUUAUCUACAUUGCUUUGGAUUUUCAACAUGUGUUAUUUUUCUUGGUAAGAAUGCUAGAGUUAAAACAAAGGAACAAAACAUGCUAAAGCACAAAAAUUUGUUCACAAAGGCAUCUAUACCUCAACACAGAAGUCUAUCCAUUCUAUCCA
Molecule: long non-coding RNA, 425 nt
Filed under: Pan troglodytes (chimpanzee)
Lineage: Eukaryota; Metazoa; Chordata; Mammalia; Primates; Hominidae
Description: long non-coding RNA NONPTRT015288
Source: RNAcentral